UACGUAGGGACGAGCGUUGUCCGGAAUUACUGGGCGUAAAGGGCGCGCAGGCUGCGCGUCGAGCCGGCUGUUAAAGAUCCAGGCUUAACCCGGUGAAGCGGUCGAGACCGACGAGCUGGAGUGCUGCAGAGGCAAGUGGAAUUCCCGGUGUAGCGGUGAAAUGCGUAGAUAUCGGGAAGAACACCGGUGGCGAAGGCGACUUGCUGGGCAGCAACUGACGCUGAGGCGCGAAAGCCAGGGGAGCAAACGGGAUUAGAUACCCGCGUAGU
This 269-nucleotide ribosomal RNA is filed under the name uncultured prokaryote. Its description in RNAcentral is "partial 16S ribosomal RNA". It matches the Rfam family "Bacterial small subunit ribosomal RNA", at positions 524 to 794 of the family's 1533-position model. The record is from RNAcentral.